GACGAACGCUGGCGGCGUGCUUAACACAUGCAAGUCGAACGGAAAGGCCCUGCUUGCAGGGUACUCGAGUGGCGAACGGGUGAGUAACACGUGGGUGAUCUGCCCUGCACUUCGGGAUAAGCCUGGGAAACUGGGUCUAAUACCGGAUAGGAGCCAUUUUUAGUGGGAUGGUUGGAAAGUUUUUUCGGUGUAGGAUGAGCUCGCGGCCUAUCAGCUUGUUGGUGGGGUAAUGGCCUACCAAGGCGGCGACGGGUAGCCGGCCUGAGAGGGUGGACGGCCACAUUGGGACUGAGAUACGGCCCAGACUCCUACGGGAGGCAGCAGUGGGGAAUAUUGCACAAUGGGCGCAAGCCUGAUGCAGCGACGCCGCGUGGGGGAUGACGGCCUUCGGGUUGUAAACUCCUUUCGCUAGGGACGAAGCUUUUUGUGACGGUACCUAGAUAAGAAGCACCGGCUAACUACGUG
RNAcentral lists this ribosomal RNA (465 nucleotides) under uncultured bacterium. RNAcentral describes it as "partial 16S ribosomal RNA". It matches the Rfam family "Bacterial small subunit ribosomal RNA", at positions 28 to 507 of the family's 1533-position model. The record is from RNAcentral.